AGAUGGCUAAAACGAUACAACGACGGAGAAGGAUUGAAAAGCCACCCUAGAUCUGGGAGACCCCGCUGCACAACCGCAGAAGAAGACGAAGUGUUAAUUAACUUUAUAACCAAACACCCGUUUUCGUCAUCAUUUUCAGUGAAACGAGAAACAAAUAUACAAACAUCAGUUGACACUGUAAGACGUCGGUUUCGAGAAGCUGGUCUUCUAUGUAGGAAACCUGCGCUCAAGCCUCUACUUACACAGACGCAUAUGGACCAUCGUCUCGGGUUUGCGCUCGAAUAUCUGUCCAAGAGCGAGCAGUUUUGGGAAACUUAUAUUUUGUGACGAGAAGACUUUUUGCAACGACCAACAGGGAAGACUGCACUGCUGGCGUCCAGGAAAAACCAGAUUUGAGGAUAAAUAUGUAGAACCAAAUCGACGAAGUGGGAGGAUAACCGCUGGCCUUUGGGGUUGGAUGGCGUCUUGCGGACCAGGUGCUUUAGUGCCAAUCCAUGAGCGAUUAAAUGGCAGGCAGUAUGUUGACAUUCUUGACGAGGUGCUGAUUCCAUCUGUUAGGAUGCUACUGAUUCCGGAACCGUUGCCCAUAUUCUUGGCAAUGGACAACUCCUCUGUUCAUAAUAGCAUGCCAGUAAGAAAGUGGUUACAGCAGCAUCCAGAAGUUAUUCGGAUCGACUGGCCUGCAAAAUCUCCGGAUCUCAAUCCCAUUGAAAAUUUAUGGGCCAUUAUGACAAAGGAAUGGGAUGGCUCCGUUCUGAACAGUAAACAAGCCAUCAUAAGCCAUUGCUUGUCAGUGUGGGAGUCAAUGCGUGGGGAAAAUAUUUGCAGUAGACUGGUUGACAGUAUUCCUAGACGGCUUAAUUCGGUAAUAGACAACCUAGGCUCACAUACUAAAUAUUAAUUAACCCUCCCUCUCUCUCUCUCUCUCUCUCUCUCUCUCUCUCUCUCUCUCUCUCUCUCUCUCUCUCUCUCUCUCUCUCUGUAUGUAUGUGUAGCUAUAUAUGUAUGACGUGUUUUAAAAGACGAGGUUGUGUUUACUCUAUUUGUUUUGCUGGAAUUUGUAUAUUAUUUUUCACAGGGACCUAUGUAUUUCAAAGAAUUAUACGUAUUUUUUAAAAAUAAUUA
Long non-coding RNA from Macrobrachium nipponense, 1125 nucleotides. RefSeq lists it as uncharacterized. The record is from RefSeq and is a predicted model, not a curated record. Lineage: Eukaryota; Metazoa; Arthropoda; Malacostraca; Decapoda; Palaemonidae. The transcript is spliced from 2 exons.